GUUUAAAAAACAUGUCUUUUUGAUUAUAAUUUAAAGUUGUCUCUGCCCAAUGAUUUUUAAAUGGCCGCAGUAUUUUGACUGUGCAAAGGUAGCAUAAUCAAUAGUUUUUUAAUUAAGAACUGGUAUGAAAGAGUUGAUAAAAUAUAUACUUUAUUUAUUUAAAAUUUUUAAUUUAUAUUUUUAGUUAAAAUACUAAAAUAAUAUUAUGGGACGAGAAGACCCUUUAGAAUUUUAUAAAUUUAUUUUUAUAAAUAUUUAUAAUUUUUUUUAUAUAAUAGAAUUUAUUUUAUUGGGAGGAUAAUUAAAUUUAUUUAACUUUAAUAUUUUAUUUAACAAUAAUUAUUGAAUUAAAGAUUUUUUUUAAAAAUUAUUAGAUUAAAUUACCUAAGGGAUAACAGCGUAAUAUUUUUGGAGAGUUCAUAUUGAUAAAAAUGUUUGCGACCUCGAUUUUGAA
This 454-nucleotide ribosomal RNA is filed under the name Goniozus sp. SNU-HY00027. RNAcentral describes it as "partial 16S ribosomal RNA". Lineage: Eukaryota; Metazoa; Arthropoda; Insecta; Hymenoptera; Bethylidae. The record is from RNAcentral.